GAUGAACGCUGGCGGCGUGCCUAAUACAUGCAAGUCGAGCGAGAAGUUUACUAUUGAUACUUCGGUAAAUUUAGUAAACGGGAAGCGGCGGACGGGUGAGUAACGCGUAGGCAACCUACCUUGUACAGAGGGAUAGCCGUUGGAAACGACGAUUAAAACCUCAUAACACCAUCAUUUCACAUGAGGAGAUGGUCAAAGAUUUAUCGGUACAAGAUGGGCCUGCGUCUGAUUAGUUAGUUGGUGAGGUAACGGCUCACCAAGGCAGCGAUCAGUAGCCGACCUGAGAGGGUGAUCGGCCACAUUGGAACUGAGACACGGUCCAAACUUCUACGGAAGGCAGCAGUAUGGAAUCUUGCACAAUGGGCGAAAGCCUGAUGCAGCAACGCCGCGUGAAGGAUGAAGGCCUUAGGGUCG
RNAcentral lists this ribosomal RNA (414 nucleotides) under uncultured bacterium. RNAcentral's name for it is "bacterial SSU rRNA". It matches the Rfam family "Bacterial small subunit ribosomal RNA", at positions 28 to 425 of the family's 1533-position model. The record is from RNAcentral.